GCGAGGGCGCGGGGCGUCGUGCAUCCCUUCUUCUAUGUGUUUCUCUUGGCCUAAUGCUCUCGAUCGAGACUAGGUGUUGAUAAUGUAUUGAGAGAAGAAGUAGCGAGACAACAAAUGAAUCCACUAGUUUCAUUGUAAUGUGGGAGACCCACUUAUAUACAAGAUGAAGGGGUGUGUUGGGGAGACACCUUUACCCCAAGAGACACCUUAUGGGAGGCAUCCCUCCCAUACAAUUGAUCACAUGUAUUAUUUUUCAACAAUUUGGUUGACUGUUUGCUCUUCCGAUCCCACUUCUAUUUAAGGGAAAAGACCGGCCACCCCUUGGUCAUUAGCUCUUCCCUUCCAUCUUUGCUUUGUAAUAGAUGCAUCUAAUGCCAGUUUUAUUUACAUAUCUCAUCCUCCUGUUUGUAAUCGAGCCGUCAUCGUAGCUCCGAGGUGCGCAGCCACAUCACCACGCCAAGAUGCAGCUCGAUCCUGCGCCUCCUCCCUGGUGCCCUGCAUCAACUUCUCCCAGC
Molecule: long non-coding RNA, 515 nt
Filed under: Hordeum vulgare
Lineage: Eukaryota; Viridiplantae; Streptophyta; Magnoliopsida; Poales; Poaceae
Description: long non-coding RNA (HVUL_LNC018369)
Source: RNAcentral